This 684-nucleotide long non-coding RNA is filed under the name Malus domestica (apple). RNAcentral's name for it is "long non-coding RNA (MDOM_LNC000235)". The record is from RNAcentral. Lineage: Eukaryota; Viridiplantae; Streptophyta; Magnoliopsida; Rosales; Rosaceae.
UUCAAUUUUUUUUUUUGAAUUUUCGAAUUUUUGAAAUUUUGAAUUUCCAAAUUUUUGAAUUUUCGAAUUUCCAAAAAAAAAAAUUAUAUAUAUAUUUUAAAGCUUUGUAGGUGAAGCUUUGGUGUUGAAGCUUUGGUGUUAAAGCUUUGUAGGUGAAGCUUUGAGGUUGAAGCUUUGUUGGGCACCAUGAAUUGAUUUUGCUUCACACUAUCUUGAUCAAGAUAGUGUGAAGCUUUUGUAGGUGAAGCUUUUUUGUUGAAGUUUUGUAGGUGAAGCUUUUGUGGGUCAGGCUUUUGUGGGUCAAGCUUUUGUAGGUGAAGCUUUUGUGGGUCAAGCUUUUAUGGGUCAAGCUUUUGUGGGUCAAGCUUUUGUGUGUGAAGCUUUUGUAGGUCCAGCUUUGUUGGGCACCCUGAAUUGAUUUUGCUUCACACUAUCUUGAUCAAGAUAGUGUGAAGCUUUUGAGAAUUUGUAGUUGUCCUCCAUUGAUGAAGCUUUUGUUGGUGAAGCUUUGGAGUUGAAACUUUGUAGGUGAAGCUUUGGAGUUGAAGCUUUUGUUGGGUACCAUGAAUUGAUUUUGCUUCACACUAUCUUGAUCAAGAUAAUGUGAAGCUUUAUAGAAUUUGUAGCUGUCCUCCAUUGAUGAAGCUUUUGUUGGUGAAGCUUUGGAGUUGAAGCUUUUGUUGG